CUAAGGCCAGAGACAAUACAAAAACAUAUUAGACUGUUCAUGACACAUAUCACGGUGGACAGUGUCUGUGUCCUUAUUACAAGCAGCGAGAGGAAUUAUAUAUGCUUGUCACCACACACGCGCGCGCACAGAUGCACGACAUACAUAUAGUUGAGACCAACAGAUGGAUCGACUAGAGGUGGCCCCAUAUGGUGAACAAUUUAUUGGAGAUAAACAUUAUUAUAACUUGGACAUAGGUUGAAGCAUAGCAACAUAUGCGUAUGAAUGGCAUUGAUGCUAUCGUUUUAGGCUUGUCCAGAUAAUAAUAUCUGGUUUUAAGCAUAACAUGGUUUUUACUUAAUUUAUCUGUGCGUGCGAUAAUAAACCAGAUAAUAGCUUGAAACAUGUUGUGCAUUGCCACCACACGCACGAGAAUAAAUUAAGUAAAAAACAUGCACACAUAGAUAAUAAUAAUAAUCAAGUUUCAGUAAAAUUGCUAAGGCCAGAGACAAUACAUAAACAUAUUAGACUAUUCAUGACACAUAUCACGGUGGUCAGUGUCUGUGUCCUUGUUACAAGCAGCGAGAGAUGCUUGUCACCACACGCACGCGU
RNAcentral lists this long non-coding RNA (591 nucleotides) under Setaria italica (foxtail millet). Its description in RNAcentral is "long non-coding RNA (SITA_LNC007498)". Lineage: Eukaryota; Viridiplantae; Streptophyta; Magnoliopsida; Poales; Poaceae. The record is from RNAcentral.